This 524-nucleotide ribosomal RNA is filed under the name Crocidura olivieri (Olivier's shrew). Its description in RNAcentral is "partial 16S ribosomal RNA". It matches the Rfam family "Bacterial large subunit ribosomal RNA", at positions 1835 to 2586 of the family's 2925-position model. Lineage: Eukaryota; Metazoa; Chordata; Mammalia; Eulipotyphla; Soricidae. The record is from RNAcentral.
CAUUACCAGUAUUAGAGGCACUGCCUGCCCAGUGACAUUAGUUAAACGGCCGCGGUAUCCUGACCGUGCAAAGGUAGCAUAAUCAUUUGUUCCUUAAUUAGGGACUUGUAUGAACGGCCCCACGAGGGUUUAACUGUCUCUUACUUUUAAUCAGUGAAAUUGACCUUCCCGUGAAGAGGCGGGAAUACAAAAAUAAGACGAGAAGACCCUAUGGAGCUUAAAUUAAUAUGUUCAACAGAAUUUAAUUAUAAUCCAACAGGAAUAAAAAUAUUCUAACUGAACAAUAAAUUUUGGUUGGGGUGACCUCGGAGUAUAACAUAACCUCCGAGCAAUUAAACCAAGACUUACCAGUCUAGGCCAUAUAACUUAUUGAUCCAAUCUUAUUGAUCAACGAAACAAGUUACCCUAGGGAUAACAGCGCAAUCCUAUUUAAGAGUUCAUAUCGACAAUAGGGUUUACGACCUCGAUGUUGGAUCAGGACACCCGAAUGGUGCAGCAGCUAUUAAAGGUUCGUUUGUUCAACG